Molecule: non-coding RNA, 342 nt
Organism: Parasteatoda tepidariorum (common house spider)
Lineage: Eukaryota; Metazoa; Arthropoda; Arachnida; Araneae; Theridiidae
Source: RefSeq, a predicted model, not a curated record
GGGCCAAACACAUGAAACUGGUCUCUCCCCAGAUGGCGUAUUCGAGCGUUGCGAUCGCCACGCCAAUAUCGAUAUCUCCUCGAUUUUGGCGGUAAAUCCGAGUUGCAAGCUACGUUUGUUGGUAAACGAAAACAAAUCUCGAUAUCCAAACCUACUCGACUUCUCGCUAGAAAGUUUGCAACCGUUUACUACAUAGUUUAUUGUGAGAGGCAAUAUUUUCAGAAAUAAUUUUUGUGAUAAGUACUGCUCUUUCAAAUCUCAUGAAAGAUGGCUUUGAUGUUAAAGCUCUUCAAGCAUUCCGUGUUCUUCGUCCUCUGAGGCUUGUAUCGGUGGUGCCAAGUA